GACGAACGCUGGCGGCGUGCCUAAUACAUGCAAGUCGAACGAGAGCGACCGGUGCUUGCACUGGUCAAUCUAGUGGCGAACGGGUGAGUAACACGUGGGUAACCUGCCCAUCAGAGGGGGAUAACAUUCGGAAACGGAUGCUAAAACCGCAUAGGUCUUCGAGCCGCAUGGCUUGAAGAGGAAAAGAGGCGCAAGCUUCUGCUGAUGGAUGGACCCGCGGUGCAUUAGCUAGUUGGUGAGGUAACGGCUCACCAAGGCAGUGAUGCAUAGCCGACCUGAGAGGGUGAUCGGCCACAUUGGGACUGAGACACGGCCCAAACUCCUACGGGAGGCAGCAGUAGGGAAUCUUCCGCAAUGGACGCAAGUCUGACGGAGCAACGCCGCGUGAGUGAAGAAGGUUUUCGGAUCGUAAAACUCUGUUGUUAGAGAAGAACAAGUGCUAGAGUAAUUGUUAGCGCCUAGA
RNAcentral lists this ribosomal RNA (463 nucleotides) under Granulicatella adiacens. RNAcentral describes it as "bacterial SSU rRNA". It matches the Rfam family "Bacterial small subunit ribosomal RNA", at positions 28 to 472 of the family's 1533-position model. Lineage: Bacteria; Bacillati; Bacillota; Bacilli; Lactobacillales; Carnobacteriaceae. The record is from RNAcentral.